This 1388-nucleotide long non-coding RNA is filed under the name Sorghum bicolor (sorghum). RNAcentral describes it as "long non-coding RNA (SBIC_LNC013649)". Lineage: Eukaryota; Viridiplantae; Streptophyta; Magnoliopsida; Poales; Poaceae. The record is from RNAcentral.
UGGGCCUUUCUUCCAUAUUUCCUGAUAACCCCCUGCAGAAAUAGACAAACACCAAAACUCGUGGAAUUCUGUCAGAUAAAACCCUAAGUCUAGAUCUUUAUUUUAUUUGGAUCCUUUUCUUUAUUUAUUUGAUAAUUAAAUUUGAUACUUAAGGACCGUCAACAAACUCCCCCAAGCUUACCUCUUGCUCAUCCCUGAGCAAGGAUAGACUCAGCUAUGGAUCAGAAGUUGCUGCAAUAUCUUUAAAAAUUUGACGGUACACAUGCUCUUAAAUAAGAUCUCAUCUCUGAGUUAGAGUAAACUGUCAAGACUUAAAACUUACUUACUUUACCUUCACUAUGGGACUUGUAACUGUCACUUCUGUCUUGAGUGGUUAAAAGAUAGAACAGUCUAGCCAAGUGUCAUGUCUCUUAUUCUUGAUCAGCUAUAGCUCUGGGAUUUUUGCAGAUUUUCAAAUAAAACUCAGAAUUCCUUGUAUGAUUCUCUCAGGUCUCUCUUUUGUGGUAUUUUUGGAUCCUUACCAAGGCAUUGAUGGUAUAUGCCUUCUCUCAAGAUAUGUGGUAUUUGUGGUAUGAGGCAUAGUAACAUUGCCUUCUCUCUCAUCCUACUCUAAUAAGGCUUUAAUAUCUGGAGCUCAUAGGUGGGAGAUAAAAUAUACAUACUUACAAGACAUGUAUUGCAUAGUCAAACCAUGGAUCCAAAGUAACAAGUCAAUAAGUUUAAUCAAGAUGUGCAUGUGUGGCGAAUGAAUGGUAUAUGGUGAUGAUGGUGAUAACAAUGGUGAAAACAAUGGUGGAAACAAUGGUGGUGAAAGUCUAAUUCUACUUUGCUCUUCUGAGGGGAUACAUACCUUCCUUGCUUUUGAAACUUUAUGAGGAGAAUGAGAUGCUCUUCUUUUUCUUUUCUCUCAGGUGGGUAUCUUGCACCCCUAAUUCUACUGUCGGACACUUGUCCAUUUUUACCUCUCGUCUCACUUUUUCUUUUCUUUCGAGGUUCCGAGCACUUGCUCCUUUUUAUUUCCUCGUAUUAUUUUCUUCUUCUUUUUUUUUUAGAGCAUUCAUCUCUUGAGAUAAUAUAGCAAGUGGUAGUAACAAGAUAACUUGAGCAUUUAUUUCACAAGGGGAAAAUAGAAAUAUUUUUGGUUAUUCUCUCCCGGAUUAGGAGUAGAAUAUUUUUAGGUGGUUCUGGAGAUGGAAAUGAGUGGAUGUAUGUGGAUGGUACUUCCGGAGUAGAAGUAGCAUAUAUGAGUGAACGUGCAAGUGAAAUCUUGAUUUAACCACAUGACAAGCUCCUAAGGGUCUACACAGCUUGACCAUACUCAAUGCUCAUAAGCAGUAAAUAGUAAAUGUGUGGCUCAAAGUCUAGCAAGCAUGUAUAUAUGGCUGUGG